This 403-nucleotide ribosomal RNA is filed under the name bacterium. RNAcentral's name for it is "partial 16S ribosomal RNA". It matches the Rfam family "Bacterial small subunit ribosomal RNA", at positions 355 to 776 of the family's 1533-position model. The record is from RNAcentral.
UGGGGAAUAUUGCACAAUGGAGGGAACUCUGAUGCAGCGACGCCGCGUGAACGAAGAAGGCUUUCGAGUCGUAAAGUUCUUUUAUAUGGGAAGAUAAUGACGGUACCAUAAGAAAAAGCCCCGGCUAACUACGUGCCAGCAGCCGCGGUAAUACGUAGGGGGCUAGCGUUGUCCGGAAUCACUGGGCGUAAAGGGUUCGCAGGCGGAAAUGCAAGUCAGGUGUAAAAGGCAGUAGCUUAACUACUGUAAGCAGUUGAAACUGCAUAUCUUGAGAAGAGUAGCGGUAAGUGGAAUUUUUAGUGUAGCAGUGAAAUGCGUAGAUAUUAAAAAGAAUACCGGUGGCGAAGACGACUUACUGGGCUCAUUCUGACGCUGAGGAACGAAAGCGUGGGUAGCAAACAGG